UGUGUUGGAGAUUUGACCUACUCGUGGGGU
RNAcentral lists this non-coding RNA (30 nucleotides) under Homo sapiens (human). The record is from RNAcentral. Lineage: Eukaryota; Metazoa; Chordata; Mammalia; Primates; Hominidae.